AUCCAGCUGACGCGUCCCGAACAGGGCGAAACACGCGUCCUUUAU
Schistosoma rodhaini is the source of this 45-nucleotide non-coding RNA. The record is from Rfam. NCBI's taxonomy places the organism in Eukaryota, Metazoa, Platyhelminthes, Trematoda, Strigeidida, Schistosomatidae.